Molecule: small RNA, 95 nt
Filed under: Serratia sp. DD3
Lineage: Bacteria; Pseudomonadati; Pseudomonadota; Gammaproteobacteria; Enterobacterales; Yersiniaceae
Description: sraA
Rfam family: sraA
Source: Rfam by way of RNAcentral
UGAAUCAAGAGUAUAUGGGGAUGAUCUUCAUACAUUCAACGGCAGAAUGCAGAGAAAAAAAAUGGGGGACAGAAUCCCCCAUUUUACCAUUAACU